Molecule: ribosomal RNA, 1286 nt
Filed under: 'Bambusa vulgaris' aster yellows phytoplasma
Lineage: Bacteria; Bacillati; Mycoplasmatota; Mollicutes; Acholeplasmatales; Acholeplasmataceae
Description: bacterial SSU rRNA
Rfam family: Bacterial small subunit ribosomal RNA
Source: RNAcentral
GAAACGACUGCUAAGACUGGAUAGGAGACAAGAAGGCAUCUUCUUGUUUUUAAAAGACCUAGCAAUAGGUAUGCUUAGGGAGGAGCUUGCGUCACAUUAGUUAGUUGGUGGGGUAAAGGCCUACCAAGACUAUGAUGUGUAGCCGGGCUGAGAGGUUGAACGGCCACAUUGGGACUGAGACACGGCCCAAACUCCUACGGGAGGCAGCAGUAGGGAAUUUUCGGCAAUGGAGGAAACUCUGACCGAGCAACGCCGCGUGAACGAUGAAGUAUUUCGGUACGUAAAGUUCUUUUAUUAGGGAAGAAUAAAUGAUGGAAAAAUCAUUCUGACGGUACCUAAUGAAUAAGCCCCGGCUAACUAUGUGCCAGCAGCCGCGGUAAUACAUAGGGGGCAAGCGUUAUCCGGAAUUAUUGGGCGUAAAGGGUGCGUAGGCGGUUAAAUAAGUUUAUGGUCUAAGUGCAAUGCUCAACAUUGUGAUGCUAUAAAAACUGUUUAGCUAGAGUAAGAUAGAGGCAAGUGGAAUUCCAUGUGUAGUGGUAAAAUGCGUAAAUAUAUGGAGGAACACCAGUGGCGAAGGCGGCUUGCUGGGUCUUUACUGACGCUGAGGCACGAAAGCGUGGGGAGCAAACAGGAUUAGAUACCCUGGUAGUCCACGCCGUAAACGAUGAGUACUAAACGUUGGGUAAAACCAGUGUUGAAGUUAACACAUUAAGUACUCCGCCUGAGUAGUACGUACGCAAGUAUGAAACUUAAAGGAAUUGACGGGACUCCGCACAAGCGGUGGAUCAUGUUGUUUAAUUCGAAGGUACCCGAAAAACCUCACCAGGUCUUGACAUGCUUCUGCAAAGCUGUAGAAACACAGUGGAGGUUAUCAGUUGCACAGGUGGUGCAUGGUUGUCGUCAGCUCGUGUCGUGAGAUGUUGGGUUAAGUCCCGCAACGAGCGCAACCCUUAUUGUUAGUUACCAGCACGUAAUGGUGGGGACUUUAGCAAGACUGCCAGUGAUAAAUUGGAGGAAGGUGGGGAUGACGUCAAAUCAUCAUGCCCCUUAUGACCUGGGCUACAAACGUGAUACAAUGGCUGUUACAAAGGGUAGCUGAAGCGCAAGUUUUUGGCGAAUCUCAAAAAAACAGUCUCAGUUCGGAUUGAAGUCUGCAACUCGACUUCAUGAAGUUGGAAUCGCUAGUAAUCGCGAAUCAGCAUGUCGCGGUGAAUACGUUCUCGGGGUUUGUACACACCGCCCGUCAAACCACGAAAGUUGGCAAUACCCAAAGCCGGUGGCCUAAC